RNAcentral lists this ribosomal RNA (443 nucleotides) under uncultured bacterium. RNAcentral's name for it is "partial 16S ribosomal RNA". It matches the Rfam family "Bacterial small subunit ribosomal RNA", at positions 338 to 795 of the family's 1533-position model. The record is from RNAcentral.
CCUACGGGUGGCUGCAGUGGGGAAUAUUGGACAAUGGGGGGAACCCUGAUCCAGCGCCGCCGCGUGAGUGAAGAAGUAUUUCGGUAUGUAACGCUCUAUCAGCAGGGAAGAAAGAAAUGACGGUACCUGACUAAGAAGCCCCGGCUAACUACGUGCCAGCAGCCGCGGUAAUACGUAGGAGGCGAGCGUUAUCCGGAAGGACUGGGCGUAAAGGGUGCGUAGGUGGUUUGACAAGUUGGUAGCGUAACUCCGAGGCUCAACCUCGGCACUAUUACCAAAACUGUCGGACUUGAGUGCAGGAGGGGCAAUUGGAAUGCCUAGUGUAGCGGUGGAAUGCGCAGAUAUUAGGAGGAACACCGGUGGCGAAGGCGAAUUGCUGGACUGUAACUGACACUGAGGCACGAAAGCGUGGGGAGCAAACAGGAUUAGAUACCCUUGUAGUC